Molecule: ribosomal RNA, 465 nt
Filed under: uncultured bacterium
Lineage: Bacteria
Description: partial 16S ribosomal RNA
Rfam family: Bacterial small subunit ribosomal RNA
Source: RNAcentral
GACGAACGCUGGCGGCGUGCUUAACACAUGCAAGUCGUACGGUAAGGCCCUUUCGGGGGUACACGAGUGGCGCACGGGUGAGUAACACGUGAGUAACCUGCCCACAACUUUGGGAUAACGCUAGGAAACUGGUGCUAAUACUGGAUAUGUUCUCCUGCUGCAUGGUGGGGGUUGGAAAGCUCCGGCGGUUGUGGAUGGACUCGCGGCCUAUCAGCUUGUUGGUGGGGUAGUGACCUACCAAGGCGGCGACGGGUAGCCGGCCUGAGAGGGUGACCGGCCACAUUGGGACUGAGAUACGGCCCAGACUCCGACGGGAGGCAGCAGUGGGGAAUAUUGCACAAUGGGCGCAAGCCUGAUGCAGCAACGCCGCGUGCGGGAUGACGGCCUUCGGGUUGUAAACCGCUUUCAGCAGGGACGAAGCUUUUUGUGACGGUACCUGCAGAAGAAGCACCGGCUAACUACGUG